AAACAUGUUUUUUUGAAAAUAAUUUAAAGUCUAAUCUGCCCACUGAUNAAAUUAUUAAAGGGCUGCAGUAUUUUGACUGUACAAAGGUAGCAUAAUCAUUAGUCUCUUAAUUGGUGACUUGUAUGAAAGAUUGGAUGAAAUAUAUACUGUCUCUAAUUAAUUUAUAAAAUUUAAUUUUUUAGUAAAAAAGCUAAAAUAAGUUUAAAAGACGAGAAGACCCUAUAGAGUUUAAUAAUUUAUUUAAUUAUUAUUAAUAUGUAAAUUUUAAAAUUAAAAUUAAAUAAAUUAUUUUGUUGGGGUGAUAGAAAAAUUAAAUUAACUUUUUUUUUUUUUUAAACAUAAAUUUAUGAAUAGAUGAUCCAUUAAUAAUGAUUAAAAGAAAAAAUUACCUUAGGGAUAACAGCGUAAUUUUUUUUUUUAGUUCAAAUAGGAAAAAAAGUUUGCGACCUCGAUGUUGGAUUAAGAUAAAAUUUAAAUGCAAAAGUUUAAAAUUUUAAUCUGUUCGAUCAUUAAAAUCUUA
Molecule: ribosomal RNA, 520 nt
Filed under: Papilio paris hermosanus
Lineage: Eukaryota; Metazoa; Arthropoda; Insecta; Lepidoptera; Papilionidae
Description: partial 16S ribosomal RNA
Source: RNAcentral